GAGGUUUUAGCUUAAUUAAAGUGUCUGGGUUGCAUUCAGAUGAUGUGUGUUAUAGUCUCACAGGCCUU
This 68-nucleotide transfer RNA is filed under the name Phyllopezus maranjonensis. RNAcentral's name for it is "tRNA-Ala". It matches the Rfam family "tRNA". From Rfam's summary of the family: Transfer RNA (tRNA) molecules are approximately 80 nucleotides in length. Their secondary structure includes four short double-helical elements and three loops (D, anti-codon, and T loops). Lineage: Eukaryota; Metazoa; Chordata; Lepidosauria; Squamata; Phyllodactylidae. The record is from RNAcentral.